Molecule: ribosomal RNA, 440 nt
Filed under: uncultured bacterium
Lineage: Bacteria
Description: partial 16S ribosomal RNA
Rfam family: Bacterial small subunit ribosomal RNA
Source: RNAcentral
CCUACGGGUGGCAGCAGUGGGGAAUAUUGCACAAUGGGGGAAACCCUGAUGCAGCGACGCCGCGUGAGUGAAGAAGUAUUUCGGUACGUAAAGCUCUAUCAGCAGGGAAGAAAAUGACGGUACCUGACUAAGAAGCCCCGGCUAACUACGUGCCAGCAGCCGCGGUAAUACGUAGGGGGCAAGCGUUAUCCGGAUUUACUGGGUGUAAAGGGAGCGUAGACGGCAGCGCAAGUCUGGAGUGAAAUCCCAUGGCUUAACCAUGGAACUGCUUUGGAAACUGUGCAGCUAGAGUGCAGGAGAGGUAAGCGGAAUUCCUAGUGUAGCAGUGAAAUGCGUAGAUAUUAGGAGGAACACCAGUGGCGAAGGCGGCUUACUGGACUGUAACUGACGUUGAGGCUCGAAAGCGUGGGGAGCAAACAGGAUUAGAUACCCCAGUAGUC